This 66-nucleotide transfer RNA is filed under the name Phyllochaetopterus sp. AW-2015. Its description in RNAcentral is "tRNA-Pro". The record is from RNAcentral. Lineage: Eukaryota; Metazoa; Annelida; Polychaeta; Chaetopteridae.
CAGAAGGUAGUUUAAAAACAAAACAAUAAUUUUGGGUAUUAUCAUUCUAUUUUUAUAGUCUUCUGA